UGUCUGAGUCAGAGCUGCAUCCUCGGAGGAAUAAACGCCAAAACUGCCUCCUCGGCCGCUCUCACACCCCCAACCUCCGGCUUCUUCCUCACGACCGUCGAUGCUGUCAGCAUACGUGUUCUUUAUGAAUCUCUAACAGCACAUUUUCGGCCUAAACUGCGCGAAAAGCCGGGCAGACCCGCUGGAUCUCACACACGCAGAAGAACUACCUGAGGGGAGGGGAAGAGGGGAGCGACAAAGGAGCGGGAGUUUUUGCAGACCUGCUCAGGAGGUUUUGACUGAAACUUUCAGUAAGACACUCGAGGCUGAGAAUCUUCCCCGAAGCGUUUAGGACUCAAAGGCAAGUGGGAGAAAGCUUUUUUCCUCAGAGCGAAUGCGAUUGCACUCGCUGAAGGCAUUUCUGUUCUGCAGGGAAUGAGACAAGCAGAGAACGAGCCUCGUUUGCCCGUUAGGGAACAGCGCUUGGGGAGUAGGAAUGGCGCGCUUCCAUCCAGACCAGCGGGCGCUGCCACUGCCAGGAGCUCGCUCAGCCUUUCAGUGCAAACACAGCUCCUGCCGUUCGUAAGCAGCCCGUCUUUCUAACCACCAUAUCUUCUCUCCGCUGUACCCCUACGACGCCCUGCCUCCCUUGCCCGGCUUCAGCCCCUCCAGCGCUACGGCUGAUGGAGGGAGGGGAGGCGGCGGCUGGGGUUUCGUUCGACGCCCACCAGGGGCUGAGCGAGCCUUCUUCAGUGCGCAAACUCGGGGCACCAGAUAAAAGCUGGGCUGGCAGCUCUUACCGUGCCUCGAUGGAGCCGCCACUUUCGGGUGACUGGAGAAGCAGUUAGCAGCAGCGCCAUAGACUAGCGUCCCCCCACACCUUGGGCACAGAGAGUUUGGGGCUCUAAAGAGCUGCUGCUGCGGCAGGAGGGAGCCGAGGGCGCUUGGCUGGGGCUGUUCGCUCGGGUUCUGCCUGUUGUUGCGCGAAAUGGCGGCUGGCGUCUUGCGCCAGGGAGGACUCCGCGGGCAGGGCGUCCCCGAAGAGCUGGCUAAAAGAAAAGCAGGAUCGGGCCUGGGCUUCUCCUUCCCGAAUAGUGCCGGGGCUGUGCUGAGAGGAGCGGGAAACGAGCGAGAGGGGAGCAACUCACGCCUGCCUUUGUAACUGCGUCAGUACAAGAUGGCGCAGGGUGUCCCUGGAGAGGGAAGGGAGUUGCACGUCCGCCGGAGGUCAUGUGACCGCGUUGCAUUCCUGUGGGGUUUGGCUGCGGACCAAGCUGGCUUAGGCGGCGGCGGCUGCCCGGGAGAGCCCGGGCUUCCCUCCCCCUCCUCCUGCACAACGUCGUCGGUCCCGCGCUGGUUCCCUUCCCCCAUCAGCCUUAUGCACGAGGGUGUAGCUGCUGCCGAGGAAGGUUCUCGCUUCUCUCUUUACUCUCCACCCACCUCCAGGGUGUAGCUCCUCUUGGGGGAAGCUUUCCAUUCCGCCCCCUCUCUGCGCAAGGCUUUACCCACCGCCAGGGAAAGUUCCCCCUGGGUGCCUGCUGGCUCCGCCCGAGCGUGGGAGCCGGCUCGGUGCGAAGGCACUCUGCUCUAAGUUAAGUUGCAGGGGGUUAUGGAGUGGUUCUUACUGGAACAGUCGUUUUAAGCGAUGUCUAAAUGACCUCAUUAAAGCCGCUGAGGAAAAUGUUACAGGCCGUGCGGAGUUGUUCUUCUGCCGAGGAGGUCAUGGCUGUUCCAGUGUUGCUCUGCCGGGGGUACGGGUGGGGAGGCCCAGGGAAAAUCUCUCAGGUGUUUAUGACUUUAUUCUGUUUGAACAGGAGAAGUGGAUCGCUGUUCUUUGUGUGCUGUUGAAUCCUGUUGCAGGAGUUGAGCAGCUUUCUGUGGAGCGAUAGGUGUAUUCCAAAGUCAGGCCGCAGAUGGCCUGCAUCUUUAACACGGGAAUUGAUGUUUGUACUUAGUGCAAAU
Long non-coding RNA from Melozone crissalis (California towhee), 1941 nucleotides. RefSeq lists it as uncharacterized. The transcript is spliced from 3 exons. NCBI's taxonomy places the organism in Eukaryota, Metazoa, Chordata, Aves, Passeriformes, Passerellidae. The record is from RefSeq and is a predicted model, not a curated record.